RNAcentral lists this ribosomal RNA (560 nucleotides) under Bacillus subtilis. RNAcentral describes it as "bacterial SSU rRNA". It matches the Rfam family "Bacterial small subunit ribosomal RNA", at positions 804 to 1364 of the family's 1533-position model. The record is from RNAcentral. Lineage: Bacteria; Bacillati; Bacillota; Bacilli; Caryophanales; Bacillaceae.
AAACGAUGAGUGCUAAGUGUUAGGGGGUUUCCGCCCCUUAGUGCUGCAGCUAACGCAUUAAGCACUCCGCCUGGGGAGUACGGUCGCAAGACUGAAACUCAAAGGAAUUGACGGGGGCCCGCACAAGCGGUGGAGCAUGUGGUUUAAUUCGAAGCAACGCGAAGAACCUUACCAGGUCUUGACAUCCUCUGACAAUCCUAGAGAUAGGACGUCCCCUUCGGGGGCAGAGUGACAGGUGGUGCAUGGUUGUCGUCAGCUCGUGUCGUGAGAUGUUGGGUUAAGUCCCGCAACGAGCGCAACCCUUGAUCUUAGUUGCCAGCAUUCAGUUGGGCACUCUAAGGUGACUGCCGGUGACAAACCGGAGGAAGGUGGGGAUGACGUCAAAUCAUCAUGCCCCUUAUGACCUGGGCUACACACGUGCUACAAUGGGCAGAACAAAGGGCAGCGAAACCGCGAGGUUAAGCCAAUCCCACAAAUCUGUUCUCAGUUCGGAUCGCAGUCUGCAACUCGACUGCGUGAAGCUGGAAUCGCUAGUAAUCGCGGAUCAGCAUGCCGCGGUG